Molecule: ribosomal RNA, 468 nt
Filed under: uncultured bacterium
Lineage: Bacteria
Description: partial 16S ribosomal RNA
Rfam family: Bacterial small subunit ribosomal RNA
Source: RNAcentral
GACGAACGCUGGCGGCGUGCUUAACACAUGCAAGUCGAACGGAAAGGCCCUGCUUGUGUGGGGUGCUCGAGUGGCGAACGGGUGAGUAACACGUGAGUAACCUGCCCUUGACUUUGGGAUAACUUCAGGAAACUGGGGCUAAUACCGGAUAGGAGCUCCUGCUGCAUGGUGGGGGUUGGAAAGUUUCGGCGGUUGGGGAUGGACUCGCGGCUUAUCAGCUUGUUGGUGGGGUAGUGGCUUACCAAGGCUUUGAAGGGUAGCCGGCCUGAGAGGGUGACCGGCGACAUUGGGACUGAGAUACGGCGCAGACUCCUACGGGAGGCAGUAGUGGGGAAUAUUGCACAAUGGGCGGAAGCCUGAUGAAGAAACGCCGCGUGCGGGAUGAAGGCCUUCGGGUUGUAAACCGCUUUCGCCUGUGACGAAGCGUGAGUGACGGUAAUGGGUAAAGAAGCACCGGCUAACUACGUG